RNAcentral lists this ribosomal RNA (477 nucleotides) under Candidatus Scalindua wagneri. RNAcentral describes it as "bacterial SSU rRNA". It matches the Rfam family "Bacterial small subunit ribosomal RNA", at positions 365 to 832 of the family's 1533-position model. The record is from RNAcentral. Lineage: Bacteria; Pseudomonadati; Planctomycetota; Candidatus Brocadiia; Candidatus Brocadiales; Candidatus Scalinduaceae.
UUCGCAAUGCCCGAAAGGGUGACGAAGCGGCGCCGCGUGAGCGAAGAAGGCCCUAGGGUUGUAAAGCUCUGUCGGGGGUUGUGAAAUGUAGAUCGGUUAAUACCCGGUUUAUUUGACAAAGGCCCCAAAGGAAGCCACGGCUAACUCUGUGCCAGCAGCCGCGGUAAUACAGAGGUGGCAAGCGUUGUUCGGUAUUAUUGGGCGUAAAGAGCACGUAGGUGGUUUUGUAAGUCAGAUGUGAAAGCCUUCUGUUCAAAGGAAGAACGGCAUCUGAAACUGCGAAUCUUGAGUGUAGGAGGGGAGAGUGGAACUUCUGGUGGAGCGGUGAAAUGCGUAGAUAUCAGAAGGAACGUCGGCGGCGAAAGCGACUCUCUGGCCUAUUACUGACACUGAGUGUGCGAAAGUUAGGGGAGCAAACGGGAUUAGAUACCCCGGUAGUCCUAACCGUAAACGAUGGGCACUAAGUAGAGGGGUUUU